GUUUCAGGAUUUUCCACAACAUUAAAUGUAACUAUAAAUGUAGAGAAAGCAUGACCUGCCAACUUUAAAAUG
Non-coding RNA from Pangasianodon gigas (Mekong giant catfish), 72 nucleotides. The record is from the annotation of a GenBank genome assembly. NCBI's taxonomy places the organism in Eukaryota, Metazoa, Chordata, Actinopteri, Siluriformes, Pangasiidae.